Molecule: transfer RNA, 72 nt
Organism: Galdieria sulphuraria
Lineage: Eukaryota; Rhodophyta; Bangiophyceae; Galdieriales; Galdieriaceae
Rfam family: tRNA
About the family: Transfer RNA (tRNA) molecules are approximately 80 nucleotides in length. Their secondary structure includes four short double-helical elements and three loops (D, anti-codon, and T loops).
Source: Rfam
GGGUGGUUAGCUCAGAGGUAGAGCUUCUGCCUUACAAGCAGAAAGUCACUGGUUCAAAUCCAGUACCACCUA